Molecule: ribosomal RNA, 3924 nt
Filed under: Candidatus Staskawiczbacteria bacterium
Lineage: Bacteria; Candidatus Staskawicziibacteriota
Description: 23S ribosomal RNA
Rfam family: Bacterial large subunit ribosomal RNA
Source: RNAcentral
GAAAAUUAGGUUAUAUGCAAAUGGUGGAUGCCUUGGGAUAUUGAAGCGACGAAGGACGUGGCGUGCCUGCGAUAAGCUUCGGGGAGGUGGCUAGCAACCUUUGAUCCGGAGACUUCCGAAUGGGGAAACCCGGUUUUGUUAAUACAAGAUCAACUUUAUCGUAAGAUAAAGUAGCGUACCCGCUGAAGUGAAACAUCUCAGUAGGUGGAGGAAAAGAAAACAAUGAAAAUUUUUAUUUUCUGUUGACUAGAAUUCUGAACAGAGAUUAGAAAUUUUUACAUUCCCUUAGUAGUGGCGAGCGAAAAGGGAGCAGCUCAAACCAGUAUUUUUUAAUAUUGGGGUUGUAAGAGUUUAACGUCGGGAGCACUUUCUUGGAGCACUUCAUUGUGCGACAGGAAAAUGUUUGCCGAGGGAGAGCAUUUAGGUAAAAGUUUUAGAAGAAGCACCCUGGAAAGGGGCACCAUAGAGGGUAAUAGUCCUGUAUUUAAAAAUUCUUUUACGCUCCUUGUUAUAUUUCUUGAGUACUGUCGGGAAUGAUAACCUGGCAGGAAACAGGCCGAACUAUCGGCCAAAGCUAAAUAUUCAAUAUCACCGAUAGUGAACCAGUACCGUGAGGGAAAGGUGAAAAGUAGGGGGAUGACCCCGGUGAAAUAGAACCUGAAACCAUUUGCUUACAAAGAGUCGGAGCCCCGACGCAAGUCGUGGGUGACGGCGUGCUUUUUGCAGAACGAGCCAACGAGUUUGAUUAUUCAGCUUGUCUAAGCCCUUUUGGGGCGAAGGCGUAGCGAAAGCGAGUGUUAAUAGCGCGUUUGCUGAAUGUUCAAGACCCGAAGCCAGACGAGCUUACCAUGGGCAGGAUGAACCGAGACGAAAGUCGAGGGGAGGUCCGAACCCGUAAGGCGUGCAAUCCUUUGGGAUGACCUGUGGUAAGGAGUGAAAAGCUAAUCGAGUUUGGUAAUAGCUGGUUCUUCCCGAAACAGCUUUGGGGCUGGCGUCUAUGGUGAAAUAUGGGGGUAGAGCACUAGAUAGAAUUCCUUGGAGUUUCUCCAGGUCUUCUAACUAAACUCCGAAUACCGUAUUUUUAAACAUAGGCAGUUAGACUACGGGGGCUAAGCUCCGUAGUCAAAAGAGUAACAGCUCAGAUCAUCGUCUAAGGUCCCUAAAUUAAACUAAGUGUUAUGAAGGAGGUAUUUUGCCCUCGACAGGCAGGAAGUUAGCUUAGAGGUAGCUAUCUUUUAAAGAGUGUGUAACAACUCACUGUCCAAACUUUCCGCUUUUGCGGAGAGAGGGGCGAAGUGCGCCAAAGAUUUCCGGGGCUAAAGUUUAAUACCGAAGACAUGGAUGCUUUUUGAUUUUUAUCAAAAGGCGUGGUAGGGAAGCAUUCCUAGCGCGUUGAAGCCUGCGUGUAAACAAAGGUGGAGUACUAGGAAGAGAGAAUGUUGGCCUGAGUAACCGCAAGUCUGGUGAAAGCCCAGACCACCGAAAGUCCAAGGUUUCCUUGGCAAUGGUAAUCAACCAAGGGUUAGGCGGUCCUAAGGCAAACCCGAGAGGGGUAGUCGAUGGAUAGUCGGUUAAUAUUCCGACCCUUGAAUACUUUUUCAAUGAGUGCGCAGUGUAGUAAUUUUAGCGGCUAAUCGGAUUUCCGUUCUUGGCUUACGGACGGGUCUGUAAUUUAGUAAUUUUUCGUAACGAAAUGAAGAAAUCUUGAGUUAGAAAUUUACAAAAAUGAGAAGGUUUAUCAGCAAGACGAUAAGCCGACGAGUUUUUGAAAAUUUAUAGCCAAAAUUUCAAGUUGCAGUAGAAAAGAUUAUUAAAUUACAGGCCUUUCUGAAAGCAGAGAAAAGUUGGUAGUAAUAUCAACAAUUAAAGUGAGCGCGCUGCCUAGAAAAGCUCAAAGAUUAUAUAGUAUUUGAACCGUACCGCAAACCGACACAGGUGGACAAGCGUAAGUGUGCUAAGGUGAACGGGUGAGACCUCGUUAAGGAACUCGGCAAAUCAGUGGCCGUAAGUUCGCAAUAUGGCCUUCCCCAGCUAGUAAUAGUUUGGGGACGCAGCUAACGUAUUUCAAGCGACUGUUUAUCAAAAACACAGCUCCCUGCUAAACUCGUAAGAGGAUGUAUAGGGGGUGAGGCCUGACCAGUGCUGGAAUGUUAAGUUUGGGAGUGCUAGCCGUAAGGUUAGUGCCCACUGAAUGAAGCACCAGUGAACGUCGGCGAUAACUAUAAACUGACGAUUGUAGUUACAAAAUUUGGCUGUAUGCUGGAAACUCCCAGUAUCUAGUACUACUAAAUUAUGGUACAAUAAAUAUAUGUACCAUAAUCAAAGUAAAAAAGUAUCUAGUGGGGACAAUCAGCAGGAAACUGUUAAAUGGCUAAAAAGUAUAACGAGCGAUAUUGGAUAUUAUAUUUCAGGUUUUGUUGACGGAGAAGGAAGUUUUAAUAUUUCUAUCCGUAAACAUCCAGGAUAUAAAUUGGGAUGGAAAACAUCUCUAGCAUUCAAUGUUUCUCAAAAAGGAGUUCAAUCACUUGAACUUCUGAAAAAUACAUUUCAAUGCGGUUAUGUUCGUAAGCGUUGGGAUAAUAUUCACUAUUUUGAAAUAGUAGAAUUUAAAAAGAUUAUCUCACGCGUAAUUCCAUUUUUUGAAAAAUUCAAGCUUCGAUCUGAAAAGAGAAAAGAUUUUCUUAUUUUCAAAGAAGUGGCAUAUUUAAUGAAAAAUGGGGAACAUUUAACUGUUAAUGGAAUUGUAAAAAUUCUUGAACUUCGUAAACCAAUGAAUUACGGAGGAAAAAAUAGACGAUUAAAGAUUCAAGAUAUUAUAGCUAGUUUAAAAGGAUCCUCAGAGACUAUACGCCAAACUCUAUAAAAUGGAGAUGAUAUAGUCCGACCUGCAUAGCGAUAUGCAGAAUGUAGUAGAAAUAUUACAUCGCGGUGUUAAAAUUGACUUAAUUUAACACUAGUAACAUAAAAGAAUCGUCCAAAGGUAGCGUAAUCCCUUGCCGGGUAAGUUCCGGCCCGCAUGAAUGGCUUAACGACUUGAAGACUGUCUCAACGAGGCGCCCGGUGAAAAUGCAAUACCGGUGAAGAUGCCGGUUACCUGCGGCUAGACGGAAAGACCCCGGAAGCUUUACUGUAGUUAGAUAUUGGAUUUUGGUUUUUGAUGCGUAGCGUAGUGGGGAGCCUUUGAAGUCACAUUCUCGGAUGUGGUGGAGGCGCCGAUGAAACACCCAUCUUUAAAAAUCAUAAUUCUAAUUCACUUUACUGUGAUAACAGUGUUUAAUGGGCAGUUUAAGUGGGGCACUUGCCUCCUAAAAAGUAAUGGAGGCGUUUAAAGGUCAGCUAGCUCCGGAUGGAAAUCGGAGCGAUAGGGCAAAGCCAUAAGCUGGCUUUACUGCAAGACGGCUAUGUCGCGCAGUUGGGAAACCAGAACUUAGUGAACCGACUAAUUUUUAUAGAAAAUUAGAAGAUCAUCAGCCAAAAGCUACUCCGGGGAUAACAGGCUAGUAGAGCCCGAGAGUCCAUAUCGACGGCUCUGUUCGGCACCUCGAUGUCGGCUCAACACAUCCUGGGGGUGAAGCAGCUCCCAAGGGUUCGGCUGUUCGCCGAUUAAAGUGUUACGUGAGCUGGGUUCAAACCGUCGUGAGACAGGUUGGUCCCUAUCUACCGCAGGCGUCGAGUUUUGAGGAGCUUUGAUCCUAGUACGAGAGGACCGGAUUGAACCAACCUCUGGUGUACCAGUUGUUCUGCCAAGAGCAUUGCUGGGUAGCUAAGUUGGGAAGGGAUAAGCGCUGAAAGCAUAUAAGCGCGAAACCCCCUCCAAGAUGAGAACUCUUAGAUUUCCCGAAGAUGACGGGAUUGAUAGGCUCCAGGUGUAAGCUCAGCAAUGAGUUCAGCCGAGGAGUACUAAUAAAUCAUUUUAUUUUUUAG